RNAcentral lists this long non-coding RNA (1330 nucleotides) under Sinocyclocheilus grahami. RNAcentral's name for it is "lncRNA (ENSSGRG00000004186.1)". Lineage: Eukaryota; Metazoa; Chordata; Actinopteri; Cypriniformes; Cyprinidae. The record is from RNAcentral.
GUGCUCUCGGAAUGAGGCGCAUUCUGCAUAUUCAGAGUACAGUGCGCUUUGAUGCUCCAUUUUAGAAAAAUAAAUAAAUAAUUUUGACUUCAUAAUCGUGGACAGGUCCAUUUACAUAACAGCACCUGUCCAUCAUUUAGCUCUCAUAUAACGUCCAGUAGCCUGAUGUUUCAUAACCCAGUUAUUUGUUUUGCGCACGCGUGAUCGUCACAUUUAUAACUGUUCCUAUAGCGAACUUGAGUUGUGUAAGUUUAAAAUCAGUGAGACAGCACGGUUUUGGAGAGGGAGAACCUUUCAUAAGUUUUCCGCGCAAGCUCCUCCCAGAUUCCUGCUGAUGCGCCUCAUGACAUUACAUAUUGACGCUUCACAUAUGGAGAGAGCUGAGGAACCUUUAACAGUUAAUACAGCCUCUCUGGAGAACUCGACGAUGGAAACCCUCAACAGACAGAAGGAAACCGUAUUCAGCCUGGUGCAGGUGAAGGGGACGUGGAAACGCAAAGCAGGGCAAAAUGUGAAGCAAGGAAUAAAAGGACGAGUGUCAGCUGCCAAAAUUUACGAAAGCACCUCCUCUAGUGGCACCACCUGGACAGUGGUCACCCCCAUCACCUUCACAUAUACAGUUACUCAGACCAAAAACCUUCUUGACCCCAGCAAUGACACUCUGCUUUUGGGCCACAUCAGAGACACUGAGCAGCUUGAGGCUGUACGGUCCAGCACCAAGCCCUUAAAACGCUUCAUAGUCAUGGAUGAGGUAGUAUACAAUCUCUAUGGUUCUCAGAUCACUGACUACCUCGAGGCCAGACACGUCCUGUACCAGAUCAUGCCCCUGCCCACGACAGAGGAGAACAAGUCCAUGGAAAUGGCCCUGAAGAUCCUGGAAGAAGUCCACCAAUUUGGCAUCGAUCGGCGCAACGAGCCCAUCAUCGCCAUCGGAGGUGGGGUCUGCCUGGAUAUUGUGGGUCUCGCUGCGUCCCUCUACAGAAGGCGCACUCCAUACAUUCGUGUUCCCACUACCCUUUUGUCAUACAUCGAUGCAAGCGUCGGAGCAAAGACGGGUGUUAAUUUCGCAAAUUGCAAGAAUAAGCUAGGCACCUACAUCGCACCUGUUGCUGCCUUUUUGGACAGGUCGUUUAUACAGACAAUUCCUCGCAGACACAUAUCUAAUGGUCUUGCAGAAAUGUUGAAGGUAUUGCAAUAUUUAUUGUUAAAGGUUUUGUUAUUACACCACUCUGCAUCAUAUUUGCCGUAUGAAAUCCAAUACUUGUUUCUUGCUAAUUUUGGGGUGCUGAUUCCAAAAAUGCUGCCUGUUUUUCUCUAGCACAUCACAAUU